Molecule: ribosomal RNA, 497 nt
Filed under: uncultured bacterium
Lineage: Bacteria
Description: partial 16S ribosomal RNA
Rfam family: Bacterial small subunit ribosomal RNA
Source: RNAcentral
ACUCAAAUGAAUUGACGGGGGCCCGCACAAGCGGUGGAGUAUGUGGUUUAAUUCGAAGCAACGCGCAGAACCUUACCUGGGCUUAACAUCCCCUGACAGCGGCAGAGAUGUCGUGUUCCCUUCGGGGACAGGGAGAUAGGUGCUGCAUGGCUGUCGUCAGCUCGUGUCGUAAGAUGUUGGGUUAAGUCCCGCAACGAGCGCAACCCUUGUCCUUAGUUGCCACCAUUAAGUUGGGCACUCUGAGGAGACUGCCGGUGUUAAACCGGAGGAAGGCGGGGAUGACGUCAAGUCCUCAUGGCCCUUACGUCCAGGGCUACACACGUACUACAAUGGCAGAGACAAAGGGUCGCGAAGCCGUGAGGUGAAGCCAAUCCCAAAAACACUGUCUCAGUCCGGAUUGAAGUCUGCAACUCGACUUCAUGAAGCUGGAAUCGCUAGUAAUCGCAGAUCAGCACGCUGCGGUGAAUACGUUCCCGGGCCUUGUACACACCGCCCGU